Molecule: transfer RNA, 72 nt
Filed under: Ictidomys tridecemlineatus (thirteen-lined ground squirrel)
Lineage: Eukaryota; Metazoa; Chordata; Mammalia; Rodentia; Sciuridae
Description: Spermophilus tridecemlineatus (thirteen-lined ground squirrel) tRNA
Rfam family: tRNA
About the family: Transfer RNA (tRNA) molecules are approximately 80 nucleotides in length. Their secondary structure includes four short double-helical elements and three loops (D, anti-codon, and T loops).
Source: Rfam by way of RNAcentral
AGGGAUAUAGCUCAGUGGUAGAGUGCUUGCCUAACAUGCACAAAGCCCUGGGUUCUACUGCCAGUAUCACAA